This 1418-nucleotide ribosomal RNA is filed under the name metagenome. RNAcentral describes it as "bacterial SSU rRNA". It matches the Rfam family "Bacterial small subunit ribosomal RNA". The record is from RNAcentral.
AGAGUUUGAUCCUGGCUCAGAUCGAACGCUGGCGGCGUGGCUAAAACAUGCAAGUCGCACGGGAAACCCCGCAAGGGGCGGUACAGUGGCGAAAGGGCGAGCAAUACAUGGGUAACGUACCUUUGGUACAGGGAUAGCUGCGGGAAACUGCAGGUAAUACCUGAUGAGACCACAAGCGUCAUAUGGCGCAGCGGUCAAGGGGUGGGGCUCCUUCGGGACCUACUGACCUUAGAGCGGCCCAUGUCCUAUCAGCUAGUUGGUGAGGUAACGGCUCACCAAGGCGACGACGGGUACCGGGACUGAGAGGUCGGCCCGGCGCAUUGGGACUGAGACACUGCCCAGACUCCUACGGGAGGCUGCAGUAACGAAUCUUCCGCAAUGGGCGAAAGCCUGACGGAGCGACGCCGCGUGUGGGAUGAAGUUCUUCGGAAUGUAAACCACUGUUAGGGACUACCAAGCAAUGAGGGCGAAUAGCCUUCAAAGUUAAGGAGGCCCAAAGAAAGCCACGGCUAACUUCGUGCAGCAGCCGCGGUAAUACGAAGGUGGCGAGCGUUGAUCGGAAUCACUGGGCUUAAAGAGAACGUAGGCGGCCCAUCAAGUGCCUUGUGAAAUCCCCCGGCUUAACCGGGGAAUUGCUCGGUAGACUAAUUGGGCUUGAGGUUGGUAGGGGCGCGUGGAACUCUUGGUGGAGCGGUGGAAUGCGUAGAUAUCAAGAGGAACGCCAGAGGCGAAAGCGACGCGCUGGGCCUGCUCUGACGCUGAGGUUCGAAAGCCAGGGGAGCAAACGGGAUUAGAUACCCCGGUAGUCCUGGCCCUAAACGUUGUCCACUAGGUCGAAGGUUCUCUGACGGAUUUUUGGCCGGAACGAAAGCGUUAAGUGGACCGCCUGGGGAGUACGGUCGCAAGGCUAAAACUCAAAGGAAUUGACGGGGGCUCACACAAGCGGUGGAGCAUGUUGCUUAAUUCGAUUCAACGCGAAGAACCUUAUCCUGGGCUUGACAUGCUUGGAUACCUACCUGGAAACAGAAUAGGUUGCCCUUCGGGGUGAAACUUGCACAGGUGCUGCAUGGCUGUCGUCAGCUCGUGUCGUGAGAUGUUGGGUUAAGUCCCAUAACGAGCGAAACCCUUGUCGUUAGUUGCCAACGCGUUAUGGCGGGGACUCUAGCGAGACUGCCGGUGUUAAACCGGAGGAAGGCGUGGAUGACGUCAAGUCCUCAUGGCCUUUAUGCCCAGGGCUGCAAACGUGCUACAAUGACCGGGACAAACCGACGCAAGACCGCGAGGUGGAGCAAAUCGGAGAAACCCGGCCUCAGUUCGGAUUGGAGUCUGCAACUCGACUCCAUGAAGCUGGAAUCGCUAGUAAUCGCAGAUCAGCUAUGCUGCGGUGAAUGUGUUCCUGAGCCUUGUACACACCGCCC